RNAcentral lists this ribosomal RNA (253 nucleotides) under uncultured prokaryote. RNAcentral describes it as "partial 16S ribosomal RNA". It matches the Rfam family "Bacterial small subunit ribosomal RNA", at positions 525 to 777 of the family's 1533-position model. The record is from RNAcentral.
ACGUAGGGUGCGAGCGUUAAUCGGAAUUACUGGGCGUAAAGUGUGCGCAGGCGGCCGCGCAAGUCGAGUGUGAAAUCCCCGGGCUUAACCUGGGAAUUGCGCUUGAAACUAGCGGGCUUGAGUGUGGCAGAGGGGGGUGGAAUUCCACGUGUAGCAGUGAAAUGCGUAGAGAUGUGGAGGAACACCGAUGGCGAAGGCAGCCCCCUGGGUCAACACUGACGCUCAUGCACGAAAGCGUGGGGAGCAGACAGGA